This 324-nucleotide long non-coding RNA is filed under the name Trifolium pratense (red clover). Its description in RNAcentral is "long non-coding RNA (TPRA_LNC001110)". Lineage: Eukaryota; Viridiplantae; Streptophyta; Magnoliopsida; Fabales; Fabaceae. The record is from RNAcentral.
GGCCACGGACAUGGACAUGGACAUGAUCAUGGCCACGGACAUGAUCAUCAUGGCCACAGCCAUGGUCUUUCAGUUUCUACCAGUCGUGAUGUAAAGCAUACAAAAGAUGAGCAUCAUCACACACAUGACGAUCACACUCACCAUCAUGAUGAUGAAAAACAUUCAAAAGAUGAACACCACCAUACUCAUGAAGAUCAUGCACAUCAUCAUGACCAUGACCACAAAGAUGUUAGUGAACCACUUCUUGGUGAAUCAAAAGCCAAAUCAGAGAAGAAACGAAACAUCAAUGUACACGGGGCUUAUCUCCACGUUCUUGGGGACUCU